RNAcentral lists this ribosomal RNA (519 nucleotides) under uncultured eukaryote. RNAcentral's name for it is "SSU rRNA". It matches the Rfam family "Eukaryotic small subunit ribosomal RNA", at positions 1161 to 1699 of the family's 1831-position model. The record is from RNAcentral.
AGGGCACCACCAGGAGUGGAGCCUGCAGCUUAAUUUGACUCAACACGGGGAAACUUACCCGGCCUGGACACUGGAAGGAUUGACAGAUUGAGAGCUCUUCCUUGAUUCAGUGGGUGGUGGUGCAUGGCCGUUCUUAGUUGGUGGAGCGAUUUGUCUGGUUAAUUCCGAUAACGAACGAGACUCUAGCCUAUUAAAUAGGCUCCCGGCUUUUAAACGCCGGGAGGACUUCUUAGAGGGACAGGUGGCGGUUCAGCCGCACGAAAGAGAGCAAUAACAGGUCUGUGAUGCCCUUUGUUGUCCGGGGCCGCACGCGCGCUACACUGAAGAGAUCAGCGUGCUUUAUGUUCCUGCUCCGACCGGAGUGGGGAACCCAGUGAACCUUCUUCGUGAUUGGGAUAGAAGAUUGUAAUUAUUCUUCUCGAACGAGGAAUUCCCAGUAAAUGCGAGUCAUAAGCUCGCGUUGAUUACGUCCCUGCCCUUUGUACACACCACCCGUCGCUGCUACCGAUUGAAUGAUUU